Molecule: long non-coding RNA, 1546 nt
Organism: Lathyrus oleraceus (garden pea)
Lineage: Eukaryota; Viridiplantae; Streptophyta; Magnoliopsida; Fabales; Fabaceae
Exons: 3
Source: RefSeq, a predicted model, not a curated record
GAGUUCCCUCUUUCAUUUCCUCAUUUCGGUCUCUGUUUCAUCUUCUUCUACUCUCUUCUCUGCGAUUGAGUUGUGUGAGUGAUCGUUUUAUGGAGAUGGAGAGAGUUUCUGCGCUUCUGGUGUGAGUGUAUUGAAGUGAAUUUUUUUAUGUGAAUCCAGGGUGCAGGUGAUGAAUUGAAAAUCUGCGGAAGAAGAGACAGAGUCAGAAAGAUUGAUGAUUUGUGGAGGAUUCACAGUUAUUGAUGAUGGGUGCAAUUGAAUGAUGGGUGAGGCUUUGGACAGUGGAUAUUUUGGGUUUGGUUUUGGAGGUGUUUGAAAUUAUUGAAGAAGAAGGUUAGGGUGAAGAAGAUUGAAGACAAGAAGAAGAGAAGAAAUAUUGAAGGUUGGGGAGAGAAGGACUGAAGAAGCAGAAGGUGAAGUAUGAAGCAGGGAGAAGGUUGAAGAAGUAGAUUGAAGAUUGAGAUUGUUGUAGGAAUUUGGGAUUGAGGUGAAGAAAGUGAUCCAAAAAUCCUCAGGGCAUGGCAAUGAGUGAUUUAUAUAGCAGAGAAGUGCAACCGAAUCGGGCAACGAAAGUCGGGCAGGUGUGGUGCUGGUGUUGCAGCCUAUUGGCUCUCUUCCACAGGGUUUAACAUGGCAAUUUGGAUGUGUGCUUAGGCUCGGGUUUGUUAGUGGUUGAAGAAUGAUGAGAUUUGUGCUUGGAAUGGAUUGAAGAACUUUGAAUUGGCUUGGAAGGAGCGUCGGAGAAUUAUGCCGCUUGUUGAAGAGUCAUUUGGUUCUACUUCUUGAAACCUCUUCUUGGAAUGAAUGGAAAUGAAGGUUAUUUGGAAUUUUAGUGGGAAUCAAGUUGGUUUAGUGAUAUGACAUUUGAAUUGAGUUAUGAAACUUGCUUGAAUUGUUUAACUCAUUUAGUACUUUUGCAACGUUUGAAGUAGCAACAUUAGACUCAAAUUAUGUUAGAGUUUUUUGGAUUCAUGUUAGUUAUCGAAUUAAAUAUUUGGAAGAUUGUUAUGCGAAGUUGUCGUCAAGGACUUGCUUGAAUCUUGAGAUGGCGAUGUACAUGCUUUAGAAAUUAGUAAAAUGUGAGAAAUGGUUUUGAAUGAUUUAUGAUGUAAUGGAACUGUGGAAUGAAUUUGACAUUCUGUUAAAAAUAUUCCUUCUGCAGGUCGAAAAGUAUGCAGGUUGAUUAGAAUUGAAAGGCAGGUUGUUGUGCCGUUUCUUGGCCUUUUGGCUGUUGGCUAUGCUGCUAUGAAAGUUUGGAAGGCUCGCAUUUGCAGCUUCACGUCGCAACCUUUUCGUUUCCGCUUUGGCCAUAGUUAUUUGCAUUAGGAUAUAGGCAAUGGGUGUAACAGGGUGAAUUGUAUUUAUCAUGGGUUAGAGUUAGAUAUUUGGACUUGGACAAUGGUCUUGGAUUAUGCAGAAGGAUAGUGGUUCAAAUGUUAUGAUUAAUUAGGGAUUUAGUUGUAUUAUAAUGUGUUUUACUGAAGAGUUUUGGUUCUGCUAAUGUAGCUUUCGGCGUUUGGAGCUGAUACAUAUGCUUUGGCAUUUA